CUAAUUCCCAACACUCUAGAAUACAAAGAGGAGGUUUUAACAUUCCGUUACUUGUAUCAGUUUGACAUUGCUUUCAUCAAGAUAUAUAGUUCUCAUAUUAUCCUUAACUUGUCAAAUGGGUUUAAAAAUUACAUACUCAACAAAAAGAUGAAAAUUAUAACUAAUACAGAGACAAUACAAACGCUCAACUUGUAAUACGAAGUCACAUUACCCCUACGUGUACACAGUUCUGCUUCAAGAGCUUCCAAAUCUUUCAACCAUACUGAUUUUGCAGUCUUGAGGUCCAACUUAUCCAGCUCCGCCGUGGCCUUAACAUAAUCAUCUCCAAGAGCAUCACGUCCCUCGAUAGUGAAUGUGUUAAAUCUCGCGGAUGUUAAAUAU
Molecule: long non-coding RNA, 381 nt
Filed under: Malus domestica (apple)
Lineage: Eukaryota; Viridiplantae; Streptophyta; Magnoliopsida; Rosales; Rosaceae
Description: long non-coding RNA (MDOM_LNC008682)
Source: RNAcentral